GCGUGAAUGGUUUAGUGGUAAAAUUCUCCGUUGCCAUUCGAGCAGCGUCGGGGAGCCCAGGGUUCGAUUCCCUGUUCACGCA
This 82-nucleotide transfer RNA is filed under the name Fusarium lateritium. RNAcentral's name for it is "tRNA-Gly". It matches the Rfam family "tRNA". From Rfam's summary of the family: Transfer RNA (tRNA) molecules are approximately 80 nucleotides in length. Their secondary structure includes four short double-helical elements and three loops (D, anti-codon, and T loops). RNAcentral also lists the same sequence under 1 other name. Lineage: Eukaryota; Fungi; Ascomycota; Sordariomycetes; Hypocreales; Nectriaceae. The record is from RNAcentral.